UCAUCAGGCGCCCAGAAAAGCAGCCCAUUGUCUUCGAAAGGAGCUAGGGAACCUGGCAGUUAUGUGUUCCUGGGGAUCAAAUCUGAUGCUGGAGAUAACUACUCUACCAGUCAGUGAGGAAGAGAUCCUGCUGACCCCAGCACCUGGACCAACUUCAGUGAAGAGACAGAGGCUAAGAGGUGAUGGAGCCUUGCUUCCUCACACACAGACAGAUGGAUCUAGAGACUGUCACACCGAAAAGCUCUGGCUUAUGCACUCAAAAAGCUAGAGCUGACCCAGAAGUUACACUUAGAAAUGAAAAGGAGGAAGAACCUCUUAUGUAACUUGAAGAGUAUAAAGGAUCCAAUGAUAAAAACCACUGCCGUGAACUUUUCUGAAGCAUAAUAAAUCUCUGCAUAAGACUCUCCAGCCAUUGCCAAGAUCCUCAUUUGGGAGCCAAGUGGGAAGAGGACUGAACUGGAAAUCAGAUUCAGGGUCCUGCCUAGCUUUCUUCCAGAUGAUCCCACCAAUCAGCCAUCUGGUCUCAGAGGAAUACAUGGCUUCCUCCUGACUUCUUUGCAUUUUCCCAGUGCCUUUGAUUUUGGAAAUACUAUAAGAAUGAUGGCUGCAUGUUUCAGUGUUGAAAAUUCAUGAAACCGAACAGGGAUUCUCAACAUUUCCUGAAAUUUCAAAACUCAGAAAAAGAUGAAAAAAAAAAAAAAAAGAAUAUUCAACUAAAUAUUCAUUUGUUAGCCCAGCACUGGAAGGACCCAGCCCUAAAUAAUAACUGGUGGGUUGACUGGAAGGCUGAAGGCAGAAUCAUCUGAAGGGCACUCACGUGUCCGGUAGCUGACGCUGACUGUUGUCUGGGACCAACGUGGGGCUGUGGCUGGAAAACCUCCAUGUGGCCCUUCCAUACGGCUGCUCAUCUUCCCUGCAGUAUGGUGGCCAGGUUCCAAAGGGAAGAAAGGAAAAAUGAACUCUAUCCCUUGAUGGGCAAGUAGCAAGUUCUACAAGAGCACAUGGGACUGGAAAUACUAAUGUGGCCAUUUUUGGAAAAUACAACCCGGCCCAGUAAGUCCUCUCUUUACUGACAUGAUCUGUACUACACAGCUCCAGAGCAGAGAUGGAAAACAGCCCAGGGCUGCUUGGCUGCCCAGCUGAAUAGUCCUUGGUUCCCACUGUGGCAUGCACGCAAGAGAACAUAUUAACACUGGACUAAUCACCAGGCCCUCUAGCUGGAACUCUUGAAAUAAAGGAACAGCUAUUAACAAUUAAUUAUGGUUAGAGGAUAUGAAUGGGACUUGCCUCAUAAAAGUGGAAUUUUUUGUGUGUAGAGCCACAUAGGAUACAAAAAUAUCUACAGAUAGAGGAAACAGAAGAAACAAAGGUGCAGGUGCUUGAAGCUGUCUGGCACACUUCAGGAUGAAUCAAGAAAGUGUGGGAAAUGCAUGCAUGGAGGAUGCAAGACUUUGAUUCUGUCAAAAGGAAAGAAUGAGAACAUGGUAAAUAAGGCAGAAGAAUUGCUUUGACUGAAGAUUUCAAAACUAUACCUCCCUCUUCCUUUGUAUUUUGAACAUGGUUCCGUAUACAUCUGACAGCUAGAAGUUGGUGAUGACUUUUUCUGCAGUGCCUAAAGGAGGAACAAAAGAUGGAUCAGGAAGGGUGGUAGUGUCAAGCCAAGGUGGUGGAGGUCUAAAAGUUUCCCAGCGCUCACUCCAGUUACUCUUGCCUGGAAAAUUCCAUGCACGGAGGAGACAGUAGGCUACAGUCCAUGGGAUUGCACAGAGUCAGACACAAUUUCACUUUCAGCCCCUCCAUGAGCCCAUAAGAUUCAAGCCCCCACCACUCCUUGAGAAAAGUGACCUCAUCAAUCUCAUUCAACUUGUAUCAUUAGUACCUGGAUCUACAAACAAACAAAAUCUCAAUCCCUAUUUGUUGAAUGGAUGAAUAGAUGGAUGAAAGGCAUCUUAGAGGUCAGCUAGUCCAACAUCUUCACUUUUAGAGAUUUUUUCACUACUAGAAAUAAACUGCAAAAAAUUAAACCAUUAUGGGCAACCUAGCACUUUUGUGUGAGUGGGUGUCUAUGGCAUAUGAAGCUGAAACAAAGGAGGUAUACACUAACCUUUUUUGAGCAACACCACCACAUUGCCUUGCAUAAUGAACACUUAUUUUCACCUGAAGUCUACCAAUCACCAGAAUCACUGAGAGCACCGGUUAUUUUUAUGUGCUUCUGUUCUCUCCUCUGUGUUUUACAUCUGAUUGCUCUGCUGUUUGACAAGGAAUUUUGCCACACGGUAGGCGCAGCAUCUGAGGAAAGCUCCUGUUCCUGUGGGGUGAUAUCUCUGCUUCUGGGCAUAAGGUGAGGAGGCAUCUGGUGACCUCUCUGCUUGUGCUGCCUGGUACCCUGAGGCUUUGGAGAAAUGACUGUGCGAUCGUUCACCUUGGCUCAGCCUGAGAGCUACUGUGACAGAUUUAUUGGCUCUGAAACAUUUAUCCAAGCAGAACCUCUAAACCAAUAUACAUUUCACUCACACACACUCUAGGGAGAGGGGGAGGAGAAGUCUAAGGGGUGGAACUCUGCAGAGAUGUAAGUCCACCACUCACUUUACUCUUGCAAAUUUGAGAAAUGAAAUGCAUCAUUUCUUUCAACCUCAGGUGUGUCUCUUUUUUUAACCAGUUUUUCUCAGUCAGGUGGUACAGAAAAACAGUACAUUAAUAAAAGGAAAUUAAUGAGGUCACUCAA
This is a long non-coding RNA of Cervus elaphus (red deer), 2725 nucleotides long. RefSeq lists it as uncharacterized. The transcript is spliced from 15 exons. The record is from RefSeq and is a predicted model, not a curated record. Lineage: Eukaryota; Metazoa; Chordata; Mammalia; Artiodactyla; Cervidae.